RNAcentral lists this unclassified non-coding RNA (238 nucleotides) under uncultured Aquadiscula. Its description in RNAcentral is "partial contains 5.8S ribosomal RNA, internal transcribed spacer 2, and large subunit ribosomal RNA". The stretch from base 1 to 52 matches the Rfam family "5.8S ribosomal RNA", at positions 103 to 154 of the family's 154-position model. Lineage: Eukaryota; Fungi; Ascomycota; Leotiomycetes; Helotiales. The record is from RNAcentral.
AACGCACAUUGCGCCCCGUGGUAUUCCGCGGGGCAUGCCUGUUCGAGCGUCAUUAGACCAUAUCACGCCUGGCGUGGUCUUGGGGUCUGCCAUUUGGCAACCCUUAAACGCAGUGGCGGUGCCGUAGGGCUCUCAGCGUAGUAAACUUUCUCGCUGUGGGGUCCCCGCGGACGCUUGCCAGCAACCCUCAAUACUCUAGGUUGACCUCGGAUCAGGUAGGGAUACCCGCUGAACUUAA